Molecule: long non-coding RNA, 1603 nt
Filed under: Ananas comosus (pineapple)
Lineage: Eukaryota; Viridiplantae; Streptophyta; Magnoliopsida; Poales; Bromeliaceae
Description: long non-coding RNA (ACOM_LNC009570)
Source: RNAcentral
AAAGAGUUGCAUUGUUUGAAAUGAAGUUGCGUUGUUUGAGAGUAAUUAAAGUUGCACUAUUUAUAAGUUAUAACUAUUUGAAACUAAAUUAUAUCACAUAAAAUAAAAGUUGUAACUAAGACUAAGUUGUACUAUUUAAGAUUUUAAUUGCACCGUUAUUUGAGACUAAAUUGCAUUCUCUCAAAUAAUGCAACUUAAGUUUCAAACAGUGCAUUGAUCUUAUAUUUUUAUUGUUCAACUUAAUUAGUCUCAUAGUCUCAAAGAAUACAAUUUCGUCUCAAAUAUUACAACCUUCUUUUCUUUUUUUUCCCUCUACUUUUUGACUUUUUCUAUAGCAACCGCUGCACAUGAUUGUCUUUUUAGAAGAUAAAAUUUGUAAUAUUUCUUUAUUAUUUUUUUCCUUUUUUUCCCUUCUUUUUUCUUCUUCUCUCUGCAUCAAUUUUUGCUACAGUGCCCUCUCCUGUGCCCUUGUCCUGACGUGCUCUUCCUUCUCGUUGUUCUCAAAUUUUACGCCUCACUCAUCAUCAUCGUCGUUGCUGUGCACGGCCACGCUCUUUGCCAUAGCUUCACCUCCGCAAACUGUACCAUAUUCGAGUCGGUAUUGCCGUCGUCGAAUGUCGACGAAAGUAUAAGCGAGAUAGAAAAGAGGAGCACAGCGUCGAUGUUGGGAUGGUGGAGGAGGAAGAGGAGGAGGAGGAGGAGGAGGAGGAGCAGCAGCGAGAGAAAAUAUGAGGAGAAAGAGACAAAAAGAUGAAAAGGAGGGAGCUAGACUAAAGAGCCGAAAAAAUAAACAAGAAAGAAAGGAAAGAGAAAGAGAAAUGAGAAUAUUUUGGUCGGACUAAAAAUUUCAAUCUAAUCUGUGAAAUUUAAGAAAGUGGCAUAAUUUUGUAAAAAUGUACAAUUGAUGAACUUUUUAUGCAAAUUAGCCUAAAAAAUUAGUAUCGUCUUUUUAUAAAAGCGGAAUAUAUAUUUUGGCCAUGUUUGUCCAUCUUUACGUGAUGGGAAACAAAUUAACAUAUAUAUAUAUAUAUAUAUAUAUAUAUAUAUAUAUAUAUAUAUAUAUAUAUAUAUAUAUAUAUAUAUAUAUAUAUAUAUAGUGGGUCAACUAUGCUUUCGAAAGUAUCGGGACUUUCGUACUUGUAAGUUAUUUUCGAUGAUAGGACAUCCGAUUUGACGAUCGGCUCCAUUAGGUAUAAUCUACUCUAUUGGAACUAUUUAGAAACCAAAUUUUAUAAUUUUUUGACAUCAUUUACUCAACGAUCAAAAGGUCCCAAAAAUGACUAUUUUAAUGGCCGAUGUGGCACGUUUUUAAGUUCAACAAUGUAGAAAUAUCCAAAUUAUAUGAAAAUUUAAUAGAAAAUUCUACUUAACGUCAAUAGUAAGAUCAAUAUUUUCAAUUUGAAAUUUGAGUCAUUUAUCAUUAUUUUUUAUUAGAUUUUUAUUUUCAGCCGUUCAUUUUGAGGUUACUCGUUCACUAGGCAAAUUGAGUUAAAAAAUUAUGAAAUUUGGUUUCUAGAUAGUUCCAAUAGCGUAAAUCAUGUCUAACGAAACCGAUCGCCAAAUCGGACGUCCCAUCAUCGAAAACAACUUACAAGUACGGAGG